This is a long non-coding RNA of Leptidea sinapis, 1373 nucleotides long. RefSeq lists it as uncharacterized. Lineage: Eukaryota; Metazoa; Arthropoda; Insecta; Lepidoptera; Pieridae. The transcript has 6 exons. The record is from RefSeq and is a predicted model, not a curated record.
GUCCCGUUACCAGGCCAAAAAAACAAAACAAAAAUUGAUAUUGUUAUGUUUUGUUUGAUUACAUUUUUCUUAUUUCUUGAGUUAAAUUUUGUGUACACUUUUAAUGAAUAUUGGGUAGGUAUUUAAAUCUAAAUAGCGAAAUAGUGUACAGUAUUCAGUACAAAUAUGGAUUAUUUAAUUAGAAAUAAUAAUAAAUCCUGCUAUAAAACACUGAACGUGAUAGAUUCAAUAUCUGAUCCACUGGAAGGCUGCAGUGAUGAUCAUGGUGAGAAGUUUUAUCUACUGGAUAAUGUAGUGUUUGCCGAGCCCCUGAAACCUGUGAAUACUGAAGGAAGUAGUGAAAUAAAAGACAUUGAAUAUACGGUCAUUGGUGAGGUUAUUAUUGAGAAAAGAAAAGGCAAUAAGAAUAAGAUUUACCAUGUCAAGAUUGACGAGUCUUGUAAAUGUCCGCAGAACUCUUGUGGCAAAUCUUUUAAAAGUACUGCGUUAGCAAAGGCACAUAUACGCAAAGUGCAUUGCGCUGUUCGUCAGUUUGUUUGUGAAAUAUGUGGGGCUGACUUCACGGCUCGAUAUUUGCUAAAACGUCAUUAUCUUGUACACGGCGGUAAAGUUGAAUGCCCCGUUUGCAAGAAAUUUUUGAGCGGACGAACCAAUAUGUCCGUUCAUCUACAAUCGCACACGGAUGAAAGGAGACACAAAUGUAUAGAUUGCGACAAGAGUUUCAAUAGAAGCUCCCAUCUCAAGCGACAUGUACAGUCAGCACAUAAAUAGAGGUCAAUGCAACGGGACAUAUUGGGGCAGGAAGAUAUUAUGUAUACGUACCCUAUUUUACUUUCAUUGACCAGCAUAACCAUUGUGAACCACAGUCGACUGAGCAAUACAGUCCCAGUUCAGCGGACUUCUUGCGGAAUGGACUGUGUGAGGACAAGGAAACUAACCUGAUGAAACUUCGACACUUAACCCGGUUCUUGUUUGUAAUCCAACUAGUUCAAGCGGUUUUCCUCCGACCGAGUUCACUUAAUAGGCAUCAAGUGCGUGCGAGGCCGUGAAGGCAUUGGCGAAACUUUUUCUGUCCUAUAAAAUGGCGCGGUGCAAAGAAGUGGGGAAAAGAGAGAACGUGAUAGGAGAAAGACUAGGAUAGAUAGAUAGUGGCGUUAACACAAGUACCUACAUACGCAUUGAAAUCUAUCUAUGUGUGUAAAUUAAAAUGCAGUCUUUAAUUAUCUGUUUGUCCUCUAUAGCCUCCGAAAUGAACUAAUUUUGAUAAAACUUUGAUGAGUUUCUCUGCAUACGCCCGCGAAGUUUUAGGGGUAAGUAGAGAAGUAGUUACCACACCGGGUAGCUCGUGUUAAAUAAAGACAUUUGGGUAUAAA